GCCUCCCCGUAGCAGAACGUAACGGCAGGAACAGCCCUGCUGGAAGGCGCACAGGGCAAUGCCAUAGAAACCCACGUGCUGCUUCUUCCCUUUCCCCAGGCCCAGUCUUGGCCCUCCUCCUGUGAUGCCACUGGUGCAGGCACCAUCCAGCCCAUGCUUCCUGGAGCAGCAGCACUGAGGCCACUCAGGCACGUGUGGAAGGCACAAGGUGCAUGCCUGGGUCACAUCUCCCUUCAUGCGGCUUCCUCCUGCCCUGCUCCCAGCCCAGCCUCAGCAGGAAGGCUCCAGCUCCUGGUCCCAGCAGGCAGAGGAAGGUGGGAGCAGGCAGGUCACAGGUGGGAUGGGAAGAGCAGGGAGCCUGUGUUCACUGCCACCAGCACAGUGUGCAUAGUGCCGGGUAUCCCCUGCCUCCCCAGGCUCCCUGUGCUACGGCUGCUGCUGAUACUGGCUCUCUGUGGCAGUGAAGAAGUCCUCCAGGAUGCUCUGCACGUACUCAAAGGUGGGCCGGUCCUCAGGUCUGCUCCUCCAGCACCGCAUCAUAACCUCAUAGAGCUCCUCGGGGCAGUGCUCGGUGCGGGGCAUCCGGUACCCACGCUCCAGCGCCCUGAUCACCUCCACGUUCGUCAUCCCUGGGGGAACAGGGUUGGUGAAUGGGGCAUGAUUGCUUUAAAAGGCAAUGAAACCCCCAAAGCACCCUUUGGGCAAUGGCACCAGGAAGAAAAAGGGAUUAGAAGGGUUGGGAAGGGGGAAUUGCAACUCCUGGUCAGGGAAAUGCACAGACAACCGAGGUGCUGAGUGAGCUGUGGCAUGCAGGUUUGUACCCACUUGAGCAAACCAGGUGGCAAUUAUAAUGUUAUGUAUAAAUGUAGCAAAUAAAGGCUAUGCUUCUCCA
Molecule: long non-coding RNA, 892 nt
Organism: Melopsittacus undulatus (budgerigar)
Lineage: Eukaryota; Metazoa; Chordata; Aves; Psittaciformes; Psittaculidae
Exons: 2
Source: RefSeq, a predicted model, not a curated record